CACCGGCAGCUCAAGUGGUAGCCAUUUUUAUUGGGCCUAAAGCGUUCGUAGCCGGUUUGAUAAGUCUCUGGUGAAAUCCUAUGGCUUAACUGUGGGAAUUGCUGGAGAUACUAUUAGACUUGAGGUCGGGAGAGGUUAGCGGUACUCCCAGGGUAGGGGUGAAAUCCUGUAAUCCUGGGAGGACGGUCUGUUGUGUUGGUGGUUAACUGGAACGAACCUGACGGUGAGGG
RNAcentral lists this ribosomal RNA (230 nucleotides) under uncultured microorganism. Its description in RNAcentral is "partial 16S ribosomal RNA". It matches the Rfam family "Archaeal small subunit ribosomal RNA", at positions 474 to 703 of the family's 1478-position model. The record is from RNAcentral.